UACGGAGGGUGCAAGCGUUGUCCGGAAUCACUGGGCGUAAAGGGCGCGUAGGCGGUUCCUUAAGCGGGUGGUGAAAGCUCAGGGCUCAACUCUGAGUCGGCCAUGCGAACUGGGGGACUCGAGCACUGUAGAGGCAGGUGGAAUUCCGGGUGUAGCGGUGGAAUGCGUAGAGAUCCGGAAGAACACCGGUGGCGAAGGCGGCCUGCUGGGCAGUAGCUGACGCUGAGGCGCGACAGCGUGGGGAGCAAACAGG
This 253-nucleotide ribosomal RNA is filed under the name uncultured bacterium. Its description in RNAcentral is "partial 16S ribosomal RNA". It matches the Rfam family "Bacterial small subunit ribosomal RNA", at positions 524 to 776 of the family's 1533-position model. The record is from RNAcentral.